CCUGACGGGUACUUUCCAUUCGCCAGAUGGGGGAAGCCAGGGGGAAUCAGGUUACUGUUUUUGCAUUUCUAUCUUCAAGGAAGAAUUAGGUUAUGAAUAGUUCCGUGAAUAGUCAGGAAGCGCUGUCCUCCAAGUUCAAGAUUAAGGAAACGUGGCAUGCACAGCUAAAGCAAGAGGUGACGUCUUGUAUCUUCCCCCGUUUCCUGGGACAUUGGUGGUGUAGCCCAUUCCACAGACUUUCGCUCCCUAGCAGCGGGUCGGAGAUCGAAGGAACGGGCCAAUUGCGGCUGAAACGUCUUUGGAAGGAGGAAGGGGGUGAGGGAGCAUCCCUUUGAGUUUCGCCUCUUCUCGAGGCGGUGGUGGGAAGGGAGACAUACUUAAUACUGCCCUCUUAAUCCAACGGAUCUUACAUCGUGUAGACUGCCGGGAGGGCGGCGGGAAAAGGGCAAGACGGGAGUUAGGGAAGGGAAGGAGCCAGGAAGCCGCGCGGGAGGGCGCGCGCGCGCGCCCCUUUUUCAGCAGUGUGGCGGGGUCGCACGCACGCCCGCCUCGGCGGCUGGGCGCGAUUUGCGACAGUGGGGGGGGCGGUGGAGGUGGCGGCGGCAGUGGCAAUUUUGCGGCAAGCUCGGGCCGGGCUUGCUUGACGGCGGUGUGGCGGAGGCCCCGCCCCAGGCGGCAGGAACCUGGAGGGAGGCGGAGGAAUAUGUCCGAGAGGGAAGUGUCGACUGCGCCGGCGGGAACAGACAUGCCUGCGGCCAAGAAGCAGAAGCUGAGCAGUGACGAGAACAGCAAUCCAGACCUCUCUGGAGACGAGAAUGAUGACGCUGUCAGUAUAGAAAGUGGUACAAACACUGAACGCCCUGAUACACCUACAAACACGCCAAAUGCACCUGGAAGGAAAAGUUGGGGAAAGGGAAAAUGGAAGUCAAAGAAAUGCAAAUAUUCUUUCAAAUGUGUAAAUAGUCUCAAGGAAGAUCAUAACCAACCAUUGUUUGGAGUUCAGUUUAACUGGCACAGUAAAGAAGGAGAUCCAUUAGUGUUUGCAACUGUAGGAAGCAACAGAGUGAGUGUUAAGGUUACCUUGUAUGAAUGUCAUUCACAAGGAGAAAUCCGGUUGUUGCAAUCUUACGUGGAUGCUGAUGCUGAUGAAAACUUUUACACUUGUGCAUGGACCUAUGAUAGCAAUACGAGCCAUCCUCUGCUGGCUGUAGCUGGAUCUAGAGGCAUAAUUAGGAUAAUAAAUCCUAUAACAAUGCAGUGUAUAAAGCACUAUGUUGGCCAUGGAAAUGCUAUCAAUGAGCUGAAAUUCCACCCAAGAGAUCCAAAUCUUCUCCUGUCAGUAAGUAAAGAUCAUGCUUUACGAUUAUGGAAUAUCCAGACGGACACUCUGGUGGCAAUAUUUGGAGGCGUAGAAGGGCACAGAGAUGAAGUUCUAAGUGCUGAUUAUGAUCUUUUGGGUGAAAAAAUAAUGUCCUGUGGUAUGGAUCAUUCUCUUAAACUUUGGAGGAUCAAUUCAAAGAGAAUGAUGAAUGCAAUUAAGGAAUCUUAUGAUUAUAAUCCAAAUAAAACUAACAGGCCAUUUAUUUCUCAGAAAAUCCAUUUUCCUGAUUUUUCUACCAGAGACAUACAUAGGAAUUAUGUUGAUUGUGUGCGAUGGUUAGGCGAUUUGAUACUUUCUAAGUCUUGUGAAAAUGCCAUUGUGUGCUGGAAACCUGGCAAGAUGGAAGAUGAUAUAGAUAAAAUUAAACCCAGUGAAUCUAAUGUGACUAUUCUUGGGCGAUUUGAUUACAGCCAGUGUGACAUUUGGUACAUGAGGUUUUCUAUGGAUUUCUGGCAAAAGGAGUAUAAGACCCAAAGAAAUAGCCAAGAGCACAGAGGCUGGAACUGAGCUUUUUCUGAAACAAGAAAGCUGUCUGAGGAUUCCUCCAAUGCUUUAGAACCUGGUAAUUUUAUUAAUUUGAUGUUUUUAAAAAUAUGUUUAUACAGAUGCUUGCAUUGGGCAAUCAAGUUGGCAAACUUUAUGUUUGGGAUUUAGAAGUAGAAGAUCCUCAUAAAGCCAAAUGUACAACACUGACUCAUCAUAAAUGUGGUGCUGCUAUUCGACAAACCAGUUUUAGCAGGGAUAGCAGCAUUCUUAUAGCUGUUUGUGAUGAUGCCAGUAUUUGGCGCUGGGAUCGACUUCGAUAAAAUACUUUUGCCUAAUCAAAAUUAGAGUGUGUUUGUUGUCUGUGUAAAAUAGAAUUAAUGUAUCUUGCUAGUAAGGGCACGUAGAGCAUUUAGAGUUGUCUUUCAGCAUUCAAUCAGGCUGAGCUGAAUGUAGUGAUGUUUACAUUGUUUACAUUCUUUGUACUGUCUUCCUGCUCAGACUCUACUGCUUUUAAUAAAAAUUUAUUUUUGUAAA
Molecule: RNA transcript, 2401 nt
Organism: Pan troglodytes (chimpanzee)
Lineage: Eukaryota; Metazoa; Chordata; Mammalia; Primates; Hominidae
Gene: EED
Gene name: embryonic ectoderm development
Exons: 12
Source: RefSeq, a predicted model, not a curated record